GUAACGCGUAUGCAACCUACCUUUUACUGGAGGAUAGCCUUUAGAAAUGAAGAUUAAUACUCCAUAAUAUUUAGAUUCAGCAUUGGAUUUAGAUUAAAGUUUCGGCGGUAAAAGAUGGGCAUGCGUUUUAUUAGUUAGUUGGUAAGGUAACGGCUUACCAAGACAGCGAUGGGUAGGGGCCCUGAGAGGGGGAUCCCCCACACUGGUACUGAGACACGGACCAGACUCC
RNAcentral lists this ribosomal RNA (229 nucleotides) under uncultured bacterium. RNAcentral's name for it is "partial 16S ribosomal RNA". It matches the Rfam family "Bacterial small subunit ribosomal RNA", at positions 110 to 339 of the family's 1533-position model. The record is from RNAcentral.